RNAcentral lists this long non-coding RNA (302 nucleotides) under Malus domestica (apple). Its description in RNAcentral is "long non-coding RNA (MDOM_LNC008963)". Lineage: Eukaryota; Viridiplantae; Streptophyta; Magnoliopsida; Rosales; Rosaceae. The record is from RNAcentral.
AAAAAAUGGUAUUAAAACCUCAAAUGCUGAAAAUUGGUAAAAUUAUUGUAAUUACCUCUAAAUUUGGGUUUUAGAUUUCCUUGUUCAAUUGCGUUGAGAGCUGGAAGUCCAAGAGUGAUUGCAAACUUGGUUCCUAUAAAUGUUAAUUGAAAUAUAAUCAUGCUCAAAAAAUUUAUUAAUUAAUAAGCUGUUUGAACUAUAAUACAUUGUAAUAAAGUGUUUUUCUCACCAGUUCAACUAUCCAUUGUAAGCCUUUGAACUGGUUCAAAAGAGGCUUUAAGUCACGAAUUGGUACGAUGUUC